This is a non-coding RNA of Oncorhynchus mykiss (rainbow trout), 7982 nucleotides long. The record is from RefSeq and is a predicted model, not a curated record. Lineage: Eukaryota; Metazoa; Chordata; Actinopteri; Salmoniformes; Salmonidae.
AGCCCAAUAUUAGCUAGUUUAUCGGUAACAAGCUAGCACCUUUGUUUACAAGCUGCAGUGGCUCCUCAAGCUACCUGGCCUUGUUAGUUUGCUAGCGAGGUCUAACGUUAUAUGUCAAGUUCUUUAGCUAGAUAUAUAUGUGGAUCAGUGGAGGCUCCUUAGAGGAGUAGGGGGAGGACCAUCCUAAGUGAAUUUCAGAAAAAUUAAAACCGUGAAACAGAAAACGAUACAAAAUAUAUGAAUGUCACCAAAUAAUUGAUUUAAAACGCACUGCGCUACAGUAGCCUCAACCGCAAUCUCUGGGAUAGCACCAUGGUGUAUGCGGGGAGGACCGCUAGUUUCCGUCCUCUGGGUACAUUGACUUCAAUACAAAACGUGAGACUCAUGGUUCAUACUCUCACCCAAAGGCUUAUACAGUAACUAUGAUGACGUCCGGCUCGAUCCUAUCAGAGCUCUUGUAGCAUGAACUGACAUGUUGUCCUCUCAAAUGAUCAGAUUUUGAGUCUAGUACUGAAAGCAUAAGCUAAAGUUAGCUAGCACUGCAUAAAAUGUGGUGAGUAAGUUGACUCAGAGAGACAAUAGUUGAACAGUUUGGAACAAAUGUAUUUAUUUAAAAAAAAUGAAGAAGCAAUAGGGAGAGAGCACUAGCUAUAUUUUGUAUUUAAUUAACUUUCACUUAGUUAGCGAAAGCAGCUAGCUCGUUUAGCCUACCCAAACAGAGAGGGGUGCUAUGUUAGCUAGAUGGCCAAAGCUAUCCAGCACCGGAACCCUUCCAAGUCAAGGUCAACUUUUGGUUUUAUAAAUGUAUUGGCACCGGGCCCGCAGGUAUAAACUGCUUGCUGCUGUAAACUGUACUGCAUGAUUGUAGCGGGUUUACUAACGCAUUAGUUCUAGUAGUUAUGUUGGUUAUGACGUUAGCUAAUAUGAUGAUGUAGACUGUGUUUAGCCGUUAGGGUAUAACGUUUUGGCUUGGAAAGGUUUUUUCGCCUGGUCACAGACAGCUGUGUUGUGCACUGAAGUCAACAAGCGAAAGGAAAUGUUGAGAGGAGGAGAGCACGUAGAUGUCGAAUGAAUUCUACAACUAGCAAAGUGAUCAUGCUGUUUUUAUGUGGCUGCUAUGGAAGUGAACUGUGUUUGUGUGAUCAGGGUAUUCAGGCAUUAAUUACGCAGAUUCUCUUAAAAUGUUUCUUAAACGGAAGCAAACAGAAUGAAACAGGGAUAAACAUACCUGAAUUUGUCCAAUAGAAACUAACUAUUUUGACUAAUAAUUACACCCUAGAUCAACUAGAUGCAGGCAAGUGUGUGCAUAGGCGGUAUUGAAUGAUUCAUCCAGAUCAGUGGCGGUAAGUGCCUGUCAUUCAUAUUCCAUUUUCCCAGCUCAAUGUAACAUCCAAUAGAAUUAGGCUACUUCAUGACACUCAAUUUUAACAACCUAGCCCAUGAAGAUCAUUUGAGUUUUUCUUGGAAAGAUGCCAAAGCAGCUGCAAGGUCCACUGAAAGGUGUCUAUGGAAUUCUCUGUAAUAACUAAUGGAAUCUUUUUCAGCACUAUGAAUCAUAAUGAACUGACAACUGUUCCAUACCUUGGAGAAGUUACCCCAAACAUCACAACACUCUCAUUGGCCCACAACCGGAUCUCGGAGCUGUGGAUGCAUCAGCUGCAUCCAUACAUCUCCUUGGAGACACUUGACCUGUCAUCUAACUCCAUCUCAGAGAUCAGAGGCUGGAGCUGUCCCAACCAUGCAGCUGAAAUACUUGAAUUUAAGCAAUAACAAGAUCAGCUGUAGUUCCUGGAAUUAAAGCGUAACAAGAUCAAGGUGGUGGACAGCCUGACCUUCAAAGGGCUGGACUUACUGAAAUCAUUGAAGAUGCAGCGGAAUGGCAUCACAAAGCUGAUGGACGGUGCUUUCUUUGGGCUCAACAACAUGGAGGAGCUAGAGCUGGAGCACAACAAUUUGACGGAGGUCAACAAAGGCUGGCUGUAUGGCCUACACAUGCUGCAUGUUCUGCGGGUCAACCAGAACACCAUCGGCAUCAUCCGACCAGACGCCUGGGAGUUCUGCCAAAAGCUGGAGGAGCUCGAUCUGUCCUUCAACCACCUCACCCGGUUGGAGGAGACCGUGUUCAUUGGACUGGGCCUUCUGGAGAACCUGAACCUAGGAGAGAAUACCAUCAGCCACCUGGGAGAGGGAGUUUUCAGCAGUCUGGCCAAUCUGCGCUCACUGAUUCUACAGCAGAACAAUAUUAAAUCUAUCACAAAGGAAGCCUUUGAGAGUCUGGAGGAACUAGAGCACUUGGACCUGAGCAAGAAUGUGAUCAUGUCCAUCCACCCUGAUUCGUUGUCUCACAUGAACUUAAAAGUGUUUUUUCUGAACACUAGCAGCCUGCUGUGUGACUGCCAACUGCAGUUCCUGGGCCCAUGGUUGACUGACAACCGCUUCCUGCAGUCUGUCUCCGCUAUGUGUGCUCACCCUGCCAGCCUGCUGGGCCGUAACGUCCUGUCUGUCAGCCUGGAGGAGCUGGUCUGUGAUGACUUCCCAAAGCCCCGGAUCACUGACCACCCUGAGACCGCCACUGCCCUGCGUGGGACCAAUGUGACUGAGCUGCCUGGCAUCCAGCAGCAGUGACUCCCCCAUGGCCACGGCCUGGAGGAAGGACGGAGAGGUGCUGUAUGAUGCAGAGGUGCAGAAUUGUGCCCGCUACCAGGAGGGAAAGCUGUUCUACACCACCGUGCUGUAUCUCCUCAACGUCAACUUUACAGACGAGGGAUGCUACCAGUGUGUUGUCUCAAACCACUUUGGCUCUAACUGCUCUAACAGGGCCAAGCUCACAGUCAAUGAGCUGCCGUCCUUUCUGAAGACUCCGAUGGACCUGACCAUCCGCACGGGCACCAUGGUCAGGCUGGAGUGUGCUGCCAAGGGUCACCCAUCACCCCAGAUCGCCUGGCAGAAAGACGGGGGCACAGACUUCCCUGCUGCCCGGGAGAGAAGGAUGCACGUCAUGCCAGAUGAUGACAUCAUCUUCAUUGCCAAUGUAAAGACAGAGGAUAUGGGAGUGUACAGCUGCACAGCCCAGAGCGCUGGAGGGAGCAUGUCUGCCAACGCUACACUCACUGUGCUAGAGGACAGGACGGUAGCUCGUGGGGAGACGGCAGUGCUCCAGUGUAUCGCAGGCGGAAGCCCAGCACCCCGCCUCAACUGGACCAAGGAUGACGGGCCCCUGGUCCUCACCGAGCGACACUUCUUUGCCGCCACCUACCAGCUUCUCAUCAUCGUGGACGCGGGGUCGGCGGACACAGGGAAGUACACGUGCAUCAUGUCCAACACGCUGGGCACGGAGCGUGGCCACAUCUACCUCAGCGUGUCUCCCAACUGCGACACUGCGGGCGGCUACGACCAGGAUAGCUGGAACACGGUGGGCAUCAUGGUGAUCGUGGUGGGCACCUCGCUGGUCUGGGUCAUCGUCAUCUACCACAUGCGAAGGAAGAGCGAGGACUACAGCAUCACCAACUCAGACCAACCUGAACCUGCCGGUAGACAUCCCCAGCAAACCUGUCCUCUCAGGGAACGCUGUCUGAGCCUCAGGAGGGAUACAGCAACUCUGAAGCAGGGAGCCACCAGCAGCUCAUGCCACCACUGUCCAACGGCUACGUCCACAAGGGAACUGGCUACGUCCACAAGGGAACUGGCUACGUCCACAAGGGAACUGGCUACGUCCACAAGGGAACUGGCUACGUCCACAAGGGAACUGACUACGUCCACAAGGGAACUGGCUACGUCCACAAGGGAACUGGCUACGUCCACAAGGGAACUGGCUACGUCCACAAGGGAACUGGCUACAUCCACGCGGGAACUGGCUACGUCCACACGGGAACUGGCUACUUCCACACGGGAACUGAUGGUGUGUGCUACAGUGACACAGGCAGCGAGGUGGACACCGAGGCCAACGGGAUGCUGCACUGCCGCGUGGGCUCUCUGUUCAUGGGACAAAGCAUCUUCCAUCCUGGGCAGCCCCGUGAGGGACUAGCUGUGGUGUCGACAGGUGGUGCAGGGCCGCUGGUCAUCUGCUCGGACUGCUACGACAAUGCUAACAUGUACUCUCGGACCCGGGAGUACUACGCCUACCUGGCCGAGGAUGACCCCCUGGACAAGGGUCUCUCUGGCAUCAUGACCCACCUUCCCAAGGAGCCCUAUGGGGAGCAGAGAGGCCAGCAUGAGGACACAGCCCUGGAGAGCCUCAUCAACAACCUGGACUCCUCAGUUUUCCUCACCAGCCACAACUCCUCAGUCUUCCUCACCAAGAGGCUGAGCAAAGCCCUCUGGCCCCCGGAACAACACUAUAGCACCGGUGAGAGAUCAGCUACAGACUGUCUGACAGACCUUAGUGGCAUGCAUGUCAACAGUGAGCUCACAGAGAUAUGUUUGGAAAGUGAUCUCACAGACCUGAUAUCUAACAGUGACCUCAGACAUACUGUGAACUGACAAUGAACUGACCCAUGAGCUCGCAGACUUUCAGACACCGACAUGUUCAAGUCUGAGCUCCUCUUUAUGGGUGCAUAUCCUUUCUGUUGAGUAAUGUAAGCAUUUCACUGUAAGGCCUGUUGUAUUUGGCACAUGAGACAAAUACAAUCACAUUUUUUUUAUUUGAUGUCUGUUUAGUCUCUGCAGAUGUUCCCCCCCAAGGUUGUUUUGGGGCAAAGGGGAGGACUUGUCUACAAUGCCACGACCAGGUCUGUCACAGCAGCCAGUGACUGUGCACACAACUCCCUAUGCAGGGAGGGGAGGAGUGUGGAGGUGGAGCUCUCUCUUCCUCAGAGCACACAGUACCACAGAAGUGCCUCUUAUAGGACUACGUCUCAGGAGCACAUCCAAGCCCUCACAUAAAGCUCUGCCAAACCACUCUGCCAAAAAUGCUUUCUUGUAUAUUUAGAUUAUUUCAGUCACGCAGAGACUAUUUGCUACUAUGAUUUUGAAAAAGGACCAUAUCUAGGGCUUGAGAACUGAACAGGUGAAUGAUGCCCCCUGAUUCCCUCCACCCUCUCAUUCUAGAGGAAGCUAUGAAUGUUUGUGUCAAAGAGCCAUGUUGGAUGCUGCCUUUUUGAGUUUUAAGAUGUCACACAUUUGAACGUGCUCUCAUGACGUACUGUCUGGAAGGUGGAAUGGCAGCAGUGUUGAUGGAUGCCCCAGUUAUUGUGCUUUCUGCUUGCAGAUGCCACAUUUUUGGUACAGUCUUGUUGGAGCAGCCUUAGUGAUUUAAGUUACAAGUCCAGGACAUAGCUUCCUCUCGUCCAGGACUAGAGGGGUCAAAGAGACCCCAGUUGUUUCUUGUUCAGCAGUGAGUGGUACAUACCUAUAGGAUCACUGAAUGAAUCCCCCCUCUAGCCAUCCAUAUUGACUGUAAUCGUCUACUUUUAUGCAAACCCAGAGACAAUGACACUAGAUGUGUGUGAGAUAUAAUUUUCACCUGUUAUCUAUGUCUCUUAAGCUAAGAUUGUUUUGCCUUGGGUCAAAGAGGCAGUCGUACCGAUAGUUACUCAUGUUUUUUUUGUAUGAAAACACACUAUCGAAGCAAAGAAAAUAUUGGGUAUUGCACAUUAUUUUGAUAAUCAUGGUUCAGGUGGCCUCUAAUGGUUUUCAACAGGCAUUCUCGGUAACCCUCCAUCGGGUAACCUUAUGGUUUCUAAUCACUUAUGCACUGAUCAUUUCCUCUCAAACGCUUAUUUUACAGGCACUUACCUCAUACGUGGUGUGUUUUAUUAUGCAGUGUGUAUGCCAUUUUAGAUUCCUAAUGGAUAAUAUAUGCCUUUACCCCUAAUUUCAUCAAUACUGGACAGAUUUAACCUUGGUACUGUGAAGAAUGUAUUGUAUGGAUUUAAACGUUUAUGUAUAUUCAUAACUACGUCCCUCAAACCCUAAGAAGGUAGUUGGAAUUAUUUUUGUCCUAACCUGCAGUAAGUUAGUUUUGUUUUUUGUGUGUAUGUCAGAAUGUUUGUAGUCACUCCAGGGUGAUUCAUAACUUGAUAUGGUAGAAUUCCUCAACAUUGUGGAAAGCAUGUAGAUCUCAAGUCAGGAUUUGGCCCAAAAUGUUGGUACAAAUUUAAUCUAGCUAAAACCAAGAUGUUUAAGGGUUGUCUUUCAUUUAAAUCACACCUGUUUCCUUUGCUCGAAUAAAAUAAUAAUUUUGGCAAUGGAACAUAGAUACUUCAGAAUAAGAUGUAGAUGUGUGAAGGCUAUACAAACAAAGAUACUACAUGAAGAUUGCCCUGACAGGUUUGGUUGAAUCCGUCCUUUAGUCAUUCUUUUUCACAUUUUUGAAAUCUCACAAUUAUUGCACUUCCGAUUCAGCCAAACAUGAAUGCAUUUCUUCUCUCUCGUGUACACUUUCACUUUUACGUGUAUGUCAACUACUAUGCUUUUAUUCCUGCCUCUACCAUAUUGACAGUUAUACAUUUCCAUGUAGGAUUGUUUCUUAGUUACACAAUGCAUUCAUGCUAAAAUCGUAACUUUUUGAUAAGACAUUCCGUGUGACUUUGCUUGAUAAUGCAUCUGGUACAUUUUCAUAUUUUGAGUUUGUUCAAAAAGGACUCCUUUUGUCAAUGUUGCAGUUGGUCUCAAACUGUUAUGUCUCUGUGGUACGUGACUUAACAAAUUUGCACAUGAUUCUUGUACACAAUUGAUUUUUGUUGUGGCUUCUUUUCCAUGGUUUGGAAGUUCUAUAAACCAGGUCAUCCCUUGUAUACCAAAAUAAAUCAUUCCAACCCCAUGCCACUGGAUUCAGUAUUGGCAUGAAUAGAGCUAAUACACAUAUUACAUUUUCUUCUGGAUAAUUAAAGCAUUUCAAUUCAAGGUAGUAAUUGUUGCCGAUAGCUUAAUCACUUUUAAUUUUAUUUGUAUUAUUUUUUUUGCGCACUCCAUGUAUCCGGUAGAAACAGUUCUCUAAUCUGAGUCCAUAGUGGGUUUGCUCUACUGAAUGUUGGAUUUUAUAUUGAACAAAAAUAUAAAAGCAACAUGCAACAAUUUCAAUGAUUGUACUAGGUAACAGUUCAUAGAAGGAAAUCAGUCAACUUAUUUAAAUUAACGAGGCCCUAAUUGAAGAAUUUCACAUGACUGGGCAGGGGUGCAGCUAUGGGUGGGCCUGUGAGAGCAUAAGCCCACCCACUGGGGAGCCAGGCCCAGCCAAUCAGCCAGCUGUGGAGGUCCUGGGCUGGCAUGGUUACACAUGGUCUGCGGUUGUGUGGCCGGUUAAAAGUACUGCUAAAUUCUCUAAAGUGACAUUGGAGGCAUCUUAUGCUUUAGAAAUUAUCUGGCAACUGCUCUGUUGGACAUUCCUGUAGUCAACAUGCCAAUUGCACGCUCCCUCAAAUUGAGACAUCUGUGGCAUUGUGUUGUGACACAACUGAACAUUUUAGUGGCCUUUUAUUGUCCCCAGCACAAGGUGCACCUGUGUAAUCAUGCUAUUUAAUCAGCUUCUUGACCUGCCACACCUGUCAAGUGGAUGGAUUAUCUUGGCAAAGAAUAAAUGCUCACUAACCGGCGUGUAAACAAAUUUGUGCACAGAAUUUGAGAGAAAUAUGCUUUUUGUGCAUUUGGGAAAUUUCUGGGAUCUUCUAUUUCCGCCCAUGAAACAUAACACUUUACAUGUUGUGGUUAUUUUUGUUCAGUGUGUAUAUAUGGAUUUGUAUAGUGACUUUUUUCUAAUGGGAGCUCAACUAUGUCCACAUGACAUGCAUUUGUGUUUAAAGCAAAAAAAUGUUUUACCAAGCCAUCUUUGCUUUGUAUUGCUGACUAUCUUGUUUUUUUUCUUCUCUUUAUACCAAAGUUCAUCAGUUAUGCUCUGGCAAUAUUUAAAAUGCUGCUUGUUUUAUUUGUUAUCAAAGUUUUUGUAUCUUGACUAGUUGUAUAUUCUGUAAAAAAACAAAAACAUUUUUGUUUCUUGAUAUGUAGCUAUCAUUAAAACGAUCACAAAUGUGAUCAUUCUGGCCAUA